Molecule: ribosomal RNA, 495 nt
Filed under: uncultured bacterium
Lineage: Bacteria
Description: partial 16S ribosomal RNA
Rfam family: Bacterial small subunit ribosomal RNA
Source: RNAcentral
GAUGAACGCUGGCGGCGUGCCUAAUACAUGCAAGUAGAACGCUGAAGGAGGAGCUUGCUCUUCUGGAUGAGUUGCGAACGGGUGAGUAACGCGUAGGUAACCUGCCUGGUAGCGGGGGAGAACUCUUGGAAACGAUAGCUAAUACCGCAUGACAACAGUUAUUGCAUGAUAACUGUUUAAAAGGGGCAACUGUUCCACUACCAGAUGGACCUGCGUUGUAUUAGCUAGUUGGUGAGGUAACGGCGCACCAAAGCGACGAUACAGAAUCGGCCCGAGAGGGGGGAUGGGCCCACUGGGAAUGGGGCACGGGCCAAGCCCCUUCGGGGGGCAGCAGUAGGGGAACUUCGGCCAUUGGCGGAAAGCUGACCGGGGAACGCCGGGUGGGUGAAGAAGGGUUUCGGGUCGUAAAGCUCUGUUGUAAGGGAAGAACGAGUGUGGGAGUGGAAAGUGCACACUGUGACGGUAUCUUACCAGAAAGGGACGGCUAACUACGUG